Molecule: ribosomal RNA, 305 nt
Filed under: uncultured bacterium
Lineage: Bacteria
Description: partial 16S ribosomal RNA
Rfam family: Bacterial small subunit ribosomal RNA
Source: RNAcentral
ACAGCAGUCGCCGCGGGAAUACAGAGGGUGCAAGCGUUAAUCGGAAUUACUGGGCGUAAAGCGCGCGUAGGUGGUUCGCCAAGUUGGAUGUGAAAUCCCCGGGCUCAACCUGGGAACUGCAUCCAAAACUGGCGAGCUAGAGUAUGGUAGAGGGUGGUGGAAUUUCCUGUGUAGCGGUGAAAUGCGUAGAUAUAGGAAGGAACAUCAGUGGCGAAGGCGACCACCUGGACUGAUACUGACACUGAGGUGCGAAAGCGUGGGGAGCAAACAGGAUUAGAUACCCCUGUAGUCCCUGUCUCUUAUAC